GGAUCAUUAUUAGAAGCCGAAAGGCUACUUAAAACCAUCGCGAACUCGUCCAAGUUGCUUCGGCGGCGCGGCCUCCCUCACGGGGGCGCCGCAGCCCCGCCUCUCCGGAGGUGUGGGGCGCCCGCCGGAGGUACGAAACUCUGUAUUAUAGUGGCAUCUCUGAGUAAAAAACAAAUAAGUUAAAACUUUCAACAACGGAUCUCUUGGUUCUGGCAUCGAUGAAGAACGCAGCGAAAUGCGAUAAGUAAUGUGAAUUGCAGAAUUCAGUGAAUCAUCGAAUCUUUGAACGCACAUUGCGCCCGCUAGUACUCUAGCGGGCAUGCCUGUUCGAGCGUCAUUUCAACCCUCAAGCCCUGCUUGGUGUUGGGGCCCUACGGCUGCCGUAGGCCCUGAAAGGAAGUGGCGGGCUCGCUACAACUCCGAGCGUAGUAAUUCAUUAUCUCGCUAGGGACGUUGCGGCGCGCUCCUGCCGUUAAAGACCAUCUUUAACUCAAGGUUGACCUCGGAUCAG
RNAcentral lists this unclassified non-coding RNA (511 nucleotides) under leaf metagenome. RNAcentral describes it as "partial contains internal transcribed spacer 1, 5.8S ribosomal RNA, and internal transcribed spacer 2". The stretch from base 184 to 337 matches the Rfam family "5.8S ribosomal RNA". The record is from RNAcentral.